UUGAAUAUACAACAUGGGGAUGUUGCUGACUUGUUCAUAUUUUUUUGGACUGGUAAUGUGCACUCCUCUAAUAUUCAUUAUCCACCUGUGCACAUAGAGUAGGCAUGGAUUCAGUUCCUUGCCUAUGCUUCUUUUAUAAACAUAUUUUGUGAAAGAUUGUUUAUAUAUAUAUAAAAAUAUUA
RNAcentral lists this unclassified non-coding RNA (182 nucleotides) under uncultured Clavariaceae. RNAcentral describes it as "sequence contains ITS1". Lineage: Eukaryota; Fungi; Basidiomycota; Agaricomycetes; Agaricales; Clavariaceae. The record is from RNAcentral.